CUCAGUAACACGUGGCCAAACUACCCUGUGGAUGGGAAUAAUCUCGGGAAACUGAGGCUAAUUCCCAAUAAUGCUCCACCCCUGGAAUGGGUGGAGCUGGAAACGCUACGGCGCCACAGGAUGUGGCUGCGGUCGAUUAGGUAGACGGUGGGGUAACGGCCCACCGUGCCAAUAAUCGGUACGGGUUGUGAGAGCAAGAGCCCGGAGACGGAAUCUGAGACAAGAUUCCGGGCCCUACGGGGCGCAGCAGGCGCGAAACCUUUACACUGUACGCAAGUGCGAUAAGGGGACUCCGAGUGUGAAGGCAUAGAGCCUUCACUUUUGUACACCGUAAGGUGGUGCACGAAUAAGGGCUGGGCAAGACCGGUGCCAGCCGCCGCGGUAAUACCGGCAGCCCGAGUGAUGGCCGAUAUUAUUGGGCCUAAAGCGUCCGUAGCUGGCCGGACAAGUCCGUUGGGAAAUCUGUCCGCUUAACGGGCAGGCGUCCAGCGGAAACUGUUCGGCUUGGGACCGGAAGACCUGAGGGGUACGUCCGGGGUAGGAGUGAAAUCCUGUAAUCCUGGACGGACCACCGGUGGCGAAAGCGCCUCAGGAGGACGGAUCCGACAGUGAGGGACGAAAGCUAGGGUCUCGAACCGGAUUAGAUACCCGGGUAGUCCUAGCUGUAAACGAUGCCCGCUAGGUGUGGCGCAGGCUACGAGCCUGCGCUGUGCCGUAGGGAAGCCGAGAAGCGGGCCGCCUGGGAAGUACGUCUGCAAGGAUGAAACUUAAAGGAAUUGGCGGGGGAGCACUACAACCGGAGGAGCCUGCGGUUUAAUUGGACUCAACGCCGGACAUCUCACCAGCUCCGACAGUAGUAAUGACGGUCAGGUUGAUGAC
This 879-nucleotide ribosomal RNA is filed under the name Halobacterium sp. RNAcentral describes it as "bacterial SSU rRNA". It matches the Rfam family "Archaeal small subunit ribosomal RNA", at positions 89 to 966 of the family's 1478-position model. The record is from RNAcentral. Lineage: Archaea; Methanobacteriati; Methanobacteriota; Halobacteria; Halobacteriales; Halobacteriaceae.